This 324-nucleotide unclassified non-coding RNA is filed under the name plant metagenome. Its description in RNAcentral is "partial contains 5.8S ribosomal RNA, internal transcribed spacer 2, and large subunit ribosomal RNA". The stretch from base 1 to 105 matches the Rfam family "5.8S ribosomal RNA", at positions 50 to 154 of the family's 154-position model. The record is from RNAcentral.
GAAAUGCGAUAACUAAUGUGAAUUGCAGAAUUCAGUGAAUCAUCGAGUCUUUGAACGCACAUUGCGCCCCCUGGUAUUCCGGGGGGCAUGCCUGUCCGAGCGUCAUUGCUGCCCUCAAGCCCGGCUUGUGUGUUGGGCCCUCGUCCCCCGGCUCCCGGGGGACGGGCCCGAAAGGCAGCGGCGGCACCGCGUCCGGUCCUCGAGCGUAUGGGGCUUCGUCUUCCGCUCCGUAGGCCCGGCCGGCGCCCGCCGACGCAUUUAUUUGCAACUUGUUUUUUUCCAGGUUGACCUCGGAUCAGGAAGGGAUACCCGCUGAACUUAAGC